GAUGAAGAACGUAGCGAAAUGCGAUAACUAAUGUGAAUUGCAGAAUUCCGUGAAUCAUCGAGUCUUUGAACGCGCAUUGCGCCCCCUGGUAUUCCGGGGGGCAUGCCUGUCCGAGCGUCAUUGCUGCCCAUCAAGCACGGCUUGUGUGUUGGGUCCUCGUCCCCCCCGGGGGACGUGCCCGAAAGGCAGCGGCGGCACCGCGUCCGGUCCUCGAGCGUAUGGGGCUUUGUCACCCGCUCUGCAGGCCCGGCCGGCGCUGGCCGACGCGAAAGCAACCAUUUUUUCUCCAGGUUGACCUCGGAUCAGGUAGGGAUACCCGCUGAACUUAAGCAUAUCAAUAAGCGGAGGA
Molecule: unclassified non-coding RNA, 349 nt
Filed under: soil metagenome
Description: partial contains 5.8S ribosomal RNA, internal transcribed spacer 2, and large subunit ribosomal RNA
Rfam family: 5.8S ribosomal RNA (bases 1-120)
Source: RNAcentral